Molecule: ribosomal RNA, 484 nt
Filed under: uncultured bacterium
Lineage: Bacteria
Description: partial 16S ribosomal RNA
Rfam family: Bacterial small subunit ribosomal RNA
Source: RNAcentral
AUUGAACGCUGGCGGCAGGCCUAACACAUGCAAGUCGAGCGGAUGAAGGGAGCUUGCUCCUGGAUUCAGCGGCGGACGGGUGAGUAAUGCCUAGGAAUCUGCCUGGUAGUGGGGGAUAACGUCCGGAAACGGGCGCUAAUACCGCAUACGUCCUGAGGGAGAAAGUGGGGGAUCUUCGGACCUCACGCUAUCAGAUGAGCCUAGGUCGGAUUAGCUAGUUGGUGGGGUAAAGGCCUACCAAGGCGACGAUCCGUAACUGGUCUGAGAGGAUGAUCAGUCACACUGGAACUGAGACACGGUCCAGACUCCUACGGGAGGCAGCAGUGGGGAAUAUUAGACAAUGGGCGAAAGCCUGGUCCAGCCAUGCCGCGUGUGUGAAGAAGGUCUUCGGAUUGUAAAGCACUUUAAGUUGGGAGGAAGGGCAGUAAGUUAAUACCUUGCUGUUUUGACGUUACCAACAGAAUAAGCACCGGCUAACUUCGUG